Molecule: long non-coding RNA, 225 nt
Filed under: Lathyrus oleraceus (garden pea)
Lineage: Eukaryota; Viridiplantae; Streptophyta; Magnoliopsida; Fabales; Fabaceae
Description: Pisum sativum (pea) long non-coding RNA (PSAT_LNC014150)
Source: RNAcentral
UAACAUUCUCUUUCUCAAAUUUUAUUCUUGAUGUUUGAUUGUAAGUAAAUUAUAAUUUUCAAUGAUUCUCUAUCUUAUCUGGUCACAUACGUCAACAGAUUCUCAUUCUCACCAUCAUUAAAGAAGCAAUUUGUAAGAAAAAUAAAGGUAAAAUAUUUCCGUUAUUUCAUUGUAUAAUUUAUGUGAUAACUUCCAUAAAAUUCACUACUAUUAACUUCCAUAAAU